GACGAACGCUGGCGGCGUGCUUAACACAUGCAAGUCGAACGAAGUGGCGAACGGCUGAGUAACACGUUGGCAACCUGCCCUCCUCUUGGGGAUAGCCUCGGGAAACCGGGAUAAUAUCCUAUACAGAAGGAUGGCCCGCGGCCUGUUGGCUUGUUGGUGGGGUAGAGGCCUACCACGGCAAUGAUGGGUAGCUGGGUUGUGAGACCGACCAGCCAGAUUGGGACUGCGACACGGCCCAGACUCCUACUGGAGGCAGCAGUGGGGAAUCUUGCACAAUGGGCGAAAGCCUGAUGCAGCGGCGCCGCGUGCGGGACGAAGGCCUUCGGGUUGUAAACCGCUAUCAGCAGGGACGCGGUACCUGCAGAAGAAGCCCCGGCUAACUACGUGCCAGCAGCCGCGGUAAUAC
This 406-nucleotide ribosomal RNA is filed under the name uncultured bacterium. RNAcentral's name for it is "partial 16S ribosomal RNA". It matches the Rfam family "Bacterial small subunit ribosomal RNA", at positions 28 to 526 of the family's 1533-position model. The record is from RNAcentral.